AGAGGGGCGUGAGGUUUCAAGAUGGCGGGGCUGAAGGGUUGACCGCCAGGCUGAAUUGAAGGCCCUUACAAAGUGAAAGAGGGCAGGAAUCGCACCUCUUGGCUGCUCGCAGUCCUGGGAGCACAGCAGAAGUGUUUUUCUUUUCUUUUCUUUUUCUUUUUUUUUAAAUGAACAAGUAAACCAUACAAAUUGUCAACAUGGGAAGGAGAUCUGCAUCAUCCACCAAGAGUGGAAAAUUUAUGAACCCCACAGACCAAGCCCGAAAGGAAGCCCGGAACAGAAGAACAAAAAACAGCUCAUGAUGGUUUGAGCUGAAGUUUUAAAGAUGAAGGAUCCCAAACAGAUGAUCCGAGACAUGGAGAAAUUGGAUGAAAUGGAGUUUAACCCAGUGCAACAGCCACAAUUAAAUGAGAAAGUACUGAAAGACAAGCGUAAAAAUAGCUGUGUGAAACCUUUGAACAUAUUCUAUGACUCUAUGAAAAAGAGGAUCCAGAUAUUUAGAAAGAAUUGAGAAAGCUAGAAAUAGAGUAUGAACAGAAGAGGACUCAACCAAUAUUUGAAUGCUGUCGAGAAUGCCCAGCACGUGGAAGUGGAGAGUAUUCCUUUACCAGAUAUGCCACAUGCUUCUUCUAACAUUUUGAUCCAGGAAAUUCCACUUCCUGGUGCCCAGCCACCCUCCAUCCUUAAGAAACCCUCAGCCUGUGGACCUCCAACUCAGGCAGUUUCUAUCCUUCUCUUCUUGGGACGUGGUGUUCCACAUUUGCCUCCUGGCAGAAAACCUCUUGGCCCUCCCCCUGGUCCACCCCCUCCUCAAGUCGUGCAGAUGUAUGGCCGUAAAGUGGGUGUUGCCCUAGAUCUUCCCCCUCCUAGGUGAGAUGAAGGCAUGGUACAUAGUCCUGAAAUUGCCCAGCGAGGUCAUGAUGAUGAUGUUUUUAGCACCAGUGAAGAUGAUGGCUAUCCUGAGGACGUGGAUCAAGAUAAGCAUGAUGACAGUACUGAUGACAGUGACACCGACGGAUCAGAUUGAGAAAGUGUGCGCCAUGAUGAUGGUGGGAGAGACAACAAUGAAAAAAAGAAGUCAGGUCUGAGUGUACGGUUUGCAGAUAUGCCUGGAAAAUCAAGGAAGAAAAAAACCAUGAAGGAACUGACUCCUCUUCAAGCCACGAUGCUUCGUAUGGCAGGUCAAGAAAUCCCUGAGGAGGGACGGGAAGUAGAGGAAUUUUCAGAGGACAAUGAUGAAGAUGAUUCUGAUGACUCUAAAGCAGAAAAACAAUCACAAAAACACAAUCAAGAGGAACUGCAUUCUGAUGGCACAUCCACUGCUUCUUCACAGCAGCAGGCUCCCCGGCAGUCUGUUCCUCCUUCUCAGGUACAAGCACCUCCCAUGCUUCACCAUUACGGCCUCCUAGGCCACCUAUGAACCUUCCCCCUGGACCACCUCCAGGAGCUCCUCCUGAGACCACCUGGAAUGCCAGGACUCGGCCUUUACCCUGACUUUUACCUCCACGACCACCGACUUUUACUACCUCCCCCACGUCUACCUCCAAGUCUGCCCCCUGGUCCCCCUCCUCGGGAACCCCCACCAAGGAUACCUCCCCCUGCACCUCCAGGUAUUCCUGGAGUUUGUAGGCUUCACCAUAAGCUCAUUUUGGCUUUUAGUCCAAAUACCAAAUACAAGAGCAAAUAUACUUGCUAAUGCAAGAUAUUUUGUCCUGGCACGAUGCACCCAGCUUUGGUACCUCCCCUUGGGAUCUGCCCCCCUGGGCUUUUCCCACCAGCUCCCUUGCUGAACCCUGAGAUUUUAAGUGCCCCACCCGGCUUGAUUCAGCGAUCCAAGGUAGAUAAUACAAGUGCAGCCACCGUUGAGAAGAAAGCCACAGCAACCGUCACUGCCAAACCACAGAUCACUAAUCCCAAGGCAGAGAUUACUCGAUUUGUGCCCAGUGCAUUGAGAGUACGUCGGGAGAAUAAAAGGGCUACUGCUGCUUCCCAAAGAAAGUCAGAGGAUAAUUCUGCUGUGCCUCUUGCCAAAGCAGCACCCAAAUCUGGUCCUUCUGUUCCUGUCUCAGUACAAACUAAGGAUGAUGUCUAUGAGGAUUUCAUGAAAGAGAUGGAAGGGCUACUGUGACAGCUUUUGAUGCCAGAACAGGCCUCUGUUCACAACAGUAGCCCAUGGAGAAAGAGGCUCUUAUUAAACUUAGAUGAAAGAGCUGCUUCCAUUGUCAGGGUAUUUUCUAAUUUCAGUUCAAGGAAUAUCCUAAAAUUUAGCCUUGUUCAGAAUUUGCUGCACAUUAAAGAGGGUAUUUCAUUCAGAAUAGAUAAGUUAUUGAAGCAGUGCUGCUAACAUCCAUUCCCUUUCACACCACCAUUUUCACCCUGCUUCUUCCCCUUUGGAAAUUUGUGAUCGGGGGAUCUUAGUUGCUUAUUUGUUUUGACUCUAUUCUUAUGUGCUGUGGGCACUGGAGUAGAGAUUUCUGAAAAGCCAGUUUAUUUCACCUUGCCUUUUGUGUUUGGGUUAUUUGUAAUGUUUUCCUGUAAAUAUUUUAUAAUAUUUUGCUUGUAAUGAAAUAGAUCACAAUGUCAUUUCCUAAUACAAGGCAGGAUAUGUGGGAAGAAAAUAUACAAUUCUUUGAUUAAAAUUAUUUCCAACUGACAUAUAUACAUAUAUGUAUAUAUAUGUUAUAGGCCAGGUGUGGUGUUGAGCACCUGUAGUCCCAUUUACUUAGGAGGCUGAGGCAUAAGAAUCACUUGAACCUGGGAGGCCAAGGUUACAGUGAGCCAAGAUGGUGCCAUUGCACUCCAGUCUGGGGGAUAGAGCCAGACCCUGUUCAAAAAAAUAAAAAAGUUUAUUUUUGUCUAGAGUCAAAUGAAUGCCUCUCACUACCAACAGGGUGGAGCAGUUCCUGAUGUAUAUUUAGUCCUCAGCAAAUAUUUUUUAAUAAAUUGAUGAAUAUCAUAAAUAUUAUUAUUCA
Long non-coding RNA from Homo sapiens (human), 2972 nucleotides. Ensembl annotates it as WBP11 pseudogene 1. Its record names the gene WBP11P1. Lineage: Eukaryota; Metazoa; Chordata; Mammalia; Primates; Hominidae. The record is from Ensembl.